RNAcentral lists this ribosomal RNA (1036 nucleotides) under Aspergillus terreus. Its description in RNAcentral is "SSU rRNA". It matches the Rfam family "Eukaryotic small subunit ribosomal RNA", at positions 97 to 1141 of the family's 1831-position model. The record is from RNAcentral. Lineage: Eukaryota; Fungi; Ascomycota; Eurotiomycetes; Eurotiales; Aspergillaceae.
CUCAUUAAAUCAGUUAUCGUUUAUUUGAUAGUACCUUACUACAUGGAUACCUGUGGUAAUUCUAGAGCUAAUACAUGCUAAAAACCCCGACUUCGGAAGGGGUGUAUUUAUUAGAUAAAAAACCAAUGCCCUUCGGGGCUCCUUGGUGAUUCAUAAUAACUUAACGAAUCGCAUGGCCUUGCGCCGGCGAUGGUUCAUUCAAAUUUCUGCCCUAUCAACUUUCGAUGGUAGGAUAGUGGCCUACCAUGGUGGCAACGGGUAACGGGGAAUUAGGGUUCGAUUCCGGAGAGGGAGCCUGAGAAACGGCUACCACAUCCAAGGAAGGCAGCAGGCGCGCAAAUUACCCAAUCCCGACACGGGGAGGUAGUGACAAUAAAUACUGAUACGGGGCUCUUUCGGGUCUCGUAAUUGGAAUGAGUACAAUCUAAAUCCCUUAACGAGGAACAAUUGGAGGGCAAGUCUGGUGCCAGCAGCCGCGGUAAUUCCAGCUCCAAUAGCGUAUAUUAAAGUUGUUGCAGUUAAAAAGCUCGUAGUUGAACCUUGGGUCUGGCUGGCCGGUCCGCCUCACCGCGAGUACUGGUCCGGCUGGACCUUUCCUUCUGGGGAAUCCCAUGGCCUUCACUGGCUGUGGGGGGAACCAGGACUUUUACUGUGAAAAAAUUAGAGUGUUCAAAGCAGGCCUUUGCUCGAAUACAUUAGCAUGGAAUAAUAGAAUAGGACGUGCGGUUCUAUUUUUGUUGGUUUCUAGGACCGCCGUAAUGAUUAAUAGGGAUAGUCGGGGGCGUCAGUAUUCAGCUGUCAGAGGUGAAAUUCUUGGAUUUGCUGAAGACUAACUACUGCGAAAGCAUUCGCCAAGGAUGUUUUCAUUAAUCAGGGAACGAAAGUUAGGGGAUCGAAGACGAUCAGAUACCGUCGUAGUCUUAACCAUAAACUAUGCCGACUAGGGAUCGGGCGGUGUUUCUAUGAUGACCCGCUCGGCACCUUACGAGAAAUCAAAGUUUUUGGGUUCUGGGGGGAGUAUGGUCGCAAGGCUGAA